AUGGCAGAGAAAAUGCAGCCAGCGUUACUUGUAACAGCUCACCCUGCUAAAAAGGCAAGGAAAAGAAAGCCUGAGACAGAAAUGGCUGCGACGAAAUAGGCUCUGGAUAAAGAAAGAAGUCUACCUGAGUCAACAUCGGUGCAGCGUUUGAGUGGUGGAGACAACUGGGGCAUGUGGAGGACCUGAAAAGUGAUGCAGAGGUUGCUCUCUUUCUGUUGGACAGCCAUGAGAAUGGCUCAUGAGUCGGCCCAGUUUCCACUGGAUAUGGUGCUGCGUUGCGGAUCCGAUCCGGUUUUGCUCCGCCUUCCGGCAGUCCCCACCGGCUGCGGUUUGAGUCCGCCAUAGCGCAGUAUGGUAGACAGCUGACCUCACGACGUGUGCUGGUGUCACCACGGAGUGUUUUAUUUUGAAAAGUAACCGGAUGUUGUUUCUUAUUUCGGUGCUGUACUUCCUGUCUGCUCCCUGCUAAAUUCAGCUGAAUUGCUGCGUCCUCCAGCAUCUUCUCCCUGCUGAGUCCCACUGCCAGAUGCGCGUUCAAGUUUGUGGGGGCGUGGCUUUAGACGGAGCACUGACGGGAUGGGAGGGAACUUAGAGGAGGUGCCACCCCAAAUCUUGUUAGCUCACUUUCUAGCUCUCCCUAGCUUUAAUAGCUGAUACCCUUACUCACGUACUAUUUGUGUACAUAAUUUUCUUUUACUUUUUACCAAAGUAAUGUUUUUAGAAAAUGCUUCAAAUGCUUUACUUUUACUCAAGCAUGACCUCUAACUGUUGACUUCAAGUGCUUUAACCUCUCAUUAUGCCAGGAUAGGUUGAUGUGACACACACUGCCAGGUAUACUCUGGUAGACAGUGACAUCAUGAGCAGUGAUGCUGGAUGACUUCCCUUUGCGGUCAAAGUGAGACAAUAUUGACUAAAUCUGCCCGUUACUCUUGUAAAAGAUAAUUUGGUCAGAAAUAUGUGAUAAAUUUGCCUUUGAAGAGCCCAAGGUGACCGUUUCAAACCCAGAAAACAACAGCCCGAUUCUCAAAGAAAUUCAGUUUACCAGCAUGAAAAAAUCUUCGAAAAUCCUCACAUUUAAGGAUUGCGUGUCAGAGAAUGGUUUGAAUUCUGCUUGAAAAUUUCUUAUAAAUGAAACUGAAAAUGAUUUUUCUGGCAAUCAAGUAAUUGUAUCAUUCACAAAUCAUAUCAGCCAUAGACUUGUAUCAGUGUAUAUUGUGCCCCUUCGUGUUUGGGGCCCUGAGUCAGUUGCCCUGUACGUAAACCAGCCUUGACUUCUCCACAAAGAUACAUUUUCCUAUUUCAUAACUCUGCACCUGCACUGCAUCUUAUAUAAAUCAUGAUAGGCAAGUAUUAAUAUCAGUGGUGUUAUUUGAAGUAAAGGUAAAUAUAAUUUCCUGUUAGUUACCAUUGAGCUUCGCUCUCAAGACUGCAUCGGGGAUCUUCCUGGAGUUCCAGGCCUUGUCUUGUCUCAAGUCUUCACAAACACCAGAGUAGUUUGAGGCUGUUUGUGGCCUCUCUCUGAGACCUGGAGGGACCCACAGGGCUGAAGCCACAUGAUGGAAAUCUAUGAAUUUCUGUCGACCUUUGACCCCCAGGUCCACCUCUGCUCCGGCGCACAGCUGACCGCAGCAUGGAUCCAGCAGGGGGAUGUCGUCUCGUACAGGAGCCACGGUGACCUGCUCAGCAG
This is a long non-coding RNA of Acanthopagrus latus (yellowfin seabream), 1687 nucleotides long. RefSeq lists it as uncharacterized. The record is from RefSeq and is a predicted model, not a curated record. The transcript has 2 exons. NCBI's taxonomy places the organism in Eukaryota, Metazoa, Chordata, Actinopteri, Spariformes, Sparidae.